AUUGAACGCUGGCGGCAUGGUUAAAACAUGCAAGUCGAACGAGAAAGCACUUCGGUGCGAGUAAAGUGGCGAAAGGGCGAGUAACGCGUGCCUUACGUACCUCCAGGUGCGGGAUAGCUCGGAGAAAUCCGUGGUAAUACCGCAUAAUCCGGGAAACCGGCAAAGGCUUGCUGCCUGAAGAUCGGGGUGCGUCCUAUCAGCUAGUUGGUGAGGUAAAUGCUCACCAAGGCUAAGACGGGUAGCGGGUGUGAGAGCACGGCCCGCCGCAUCGGGACUGAGACACUGCCCGG
Molecule: ribosomal RNA, 290 nt
Filed under: uncultured bacterium
Lineage: Bacteria
Description: partial 16S ribosomal RNA
Rfam family: Bacterial small subunit ribosomal RNA
Source: RNAcentral